Molecule: ribosomal RNA, 492 nt
Filed under: uncultured bacterium
Lineage: Bacteria
Description: partial 16S ribosomal RNA
Rfam family: Bacterial small subunit ribosomal RNA
Source: RNAcentral
AGUGAACGCUGGCGGUAGGCCUAACACAUGCAAGUCGAACGGCAGCACAGUAAGAGCUUGCUCUUACGGGUGGCGAGUGGCGGACGGGUGAGGAAUACAUCGGAAUCUACUUUUUCGUGGGGGAUAACGUAGGGAAACUUACGCUAAUACCCCAUACGACCUACGGGUGAAAGCAGGUGAUCUUCGGACCUUGCGCGAUUGAAUGAGCCGAUGUCGGAUUAGUUAGUUGGCGGGUUAAAGGCCCACCAAGGCGGCGAUCCGUAGCUGGUGUGGGAGGCUGAUAAGCCACACUGGAAGUGAGACACGGUCAAGACUCCUACGGGAGGCAGCAGUGGGGAAUAUUGGACAGUGGGGGGAAGCAUGAUCCAGCCAUACCGAGUGGGUGAAGAAGGCCUUCGGGGUGUAAAGACCUUUUGUUGGGAAAGAAAAGCAGCAGGUUAAUAACCCGCUGAUCUGACGGUACCCAAAGAAUAAGCACCGGCUAACUUCGUG